Molecule: ribosomal RNA, 790 nt
Filed under: uncultured bacterium
Lineage: Bacteria
Description: bacterial SSU rRNA
Rfam family: Bacterial small subunit ribosomal RNA
Source: RNAcentral
AGAGUUUGAUCAUGGCUCAGGAUGAACGCUGGCGGCGUGCCUAACACAUGCAAGUCGAGCGCGAUUAGUUGGACUGGAGACUUCGGUCAAAGGGAAGAUUAUGAAAGCGGCGGACGGGUGAGUAACGCGUGAGCAACCUGCCCUGUACAGGGGGAUAGCCACUGGAAACGGUGAUUAAUACCCCAUAAACCCAAAGGACCGCAUGGUCCAAUGGGCAAAGUCCAAACGGUACAGGAUGGGCUCGCGUCUGAUUAGCUAGUUGGUGAGGUAACGGCUCACCAAGGCGACGAUCAGUAGCCGACCUGAGAGGGUGAACGGCCACACUGGAACUGAGACACGGUCCAGACUCCUACGGGAGGCAGCAGUGGGGAAUAUUGCACAAUGGGCGCAAGCCUGAUGCAGCAACGCCGCGUGAGUGAAGAAGGCCUUCGGGUCGUAAAACUCUGUCCUAAGGGAAGAAGAAGUGACGGUACCUUAGGAGGAAGCCCCGGCUAACUACGUGCCAGCAGCCGCGGUAAUACGUAGGGGGCAAGCGUUAUCCGGAAUCACUGGGCGUAAAGGGUGCGUAGGCGGCUGAUCAAGCCAGGGGUGAAAGGCUGUGGCUUAACCAUGGUAAGCCUUUGGAACUGGUCAGCUUGAGUGCAGGAGAGGAAAGCGGAAUUCCUAGUGUAGCGGUGAAAUGCGUAGAUAUUAGGAGGAACACCCGUGGCGAAGGCGGCUUUCUGGACUGUAACUGACGCUGAGGCACGAAAGCGUGGGGAGCAAACAGGAUUAGAUACCCUGGUAGUCC